This 244-nucleotide ribosomal RNA is filed under the name uncultured bacterium. RNAcentral's name for it is "partial 16S ribosomal RNA". It matches the Rfam family "Bacterial small subunit ribosomal RNA", at positions 57 to 305 of the family's 1533-position model. The record is from RNAcentral.
GCAAGUCGAGCGGAAACGAUGCUAGUUUACUAGCAGGCGUCGAGUGGCGGACGGGUGAGUAAUGCUUGGGAAUUUGCCUUUAGGUGGGGGACAACAGUUGGAAACGACUGCUAAUACCGCAUGAUAGCUACGGCUCAAAGGGGGCUUCGGCUCCCGCCUUUAGAGAAGCCCAAGUGGGAUUAGGUAGUUGGUGAGGUAAAGGCUCACCAAGCCCACGAUCCCUAGCUGGUCUGAGAGGAUGAUC